Molecule: ribosomal RNA, 253 nt
Filed under: uncultured bacterium
Lineage: Bacteria
Description: partial 16S ribosomal RNA
Rfam family: Bacterial small subunit ribosomal RNA
Source: RNAcentral
GACGAACCGUACGAACGUUAUUCGGAAUUACUGGGCUUAAAGGGUGCGUAGGCUGCGCGGAAAGUUGGGUGUGAAACUCCCUCGGCUCACCGAGGAACUGCGCCCAAAACUACCGUGCUCGAGGGAGACAGAGGUGAGCGGAACUUAGGGUGGAGCGGUGAAAUGCGUUGAUAUCCUAAGGAACACCCGUGGCGAAAGCGGCUCACUGGGUCUCUUCUGACGCUGAGGCACGAAAGCUAGGGUAGCGAACGGG